GCGAUGGAGUAAAGUGAGCUCGGUUUAUCACGUGCACCUAGUCUUCUUUGUCGUCCGUCCCCUACAGUAGGUGUUUGCAUCAGUUAAACAUCAAGCCAACAAAAGCCAUUCUUCACACUAAGGAGUAAAGUAGGCAGUAUAUUGUGUCACUAGCUCACAACCCAGAGAAAUUUCUUGACCUAUUGCACAAUGCAGAGGCAAUUAAACGUCUACGAGUCGUCUUUCGAAUUAUAUAAAUGGCAAAGACUGCAGCAAUACUCUUAUUAGUAAGUACAGCGAGUCAAAGAACCCAUAAAAAAUAAGUUUCUGUUAAAAGAAAUUACGAGAUGACACAUGUAAAGAUGAAAAAUUAUAUGUUUUAUCCGAUAUAUACAUAGUAUUCAUCAUUAAUACAGCGAGCAAGAUGAGAUAAUAAUUUAAGAAGGUUUUUGUUUGAUAAAAUAGGACCUGUGGAGAAGAAAGAAAAUAAAAGCCAUUUCUGAGGAGACAAGUUAUUAUAUGAAACUAAAAGUAUUUUGAGAAUUAUGUCCGAGAUUAUCACUAGGAAGGACGGUGGACAAUACGGCAGAGUUGUGGACCAUGAAUGACAGACAGUUGUCCGGUCCAUCGCAGUAUAACGGAGAAAGAAACAAUGAGGGUUAUCCCAUCCCGCUGGUCGGUUAGAGUAGCCAGGAGGAAAAACCUUCGACCUAAUCCGAACGAUGGAGUGGUAUGUCAGGCGGAAGACUGCCGCCAACGACCUUAUGGAUAUCCCAUAAAAUCACAACGAUGUACGCAGUGUAAUCCCUGUAAUACUGUUCAGGAUGACAUACAGUGUCUAGCCGGUAAGCUGGCUGGCUUUACCAAGUCGGGCCAUUGGUCCCGUUACAGAAGAACUCCAACUCGACAUAUUAGCCGUAUUUCUGGCAGAAAACUGUGCGAUAUUUAAACAACCGGACCGCCAUAUCCUUCAUUCACCUUCGCUCCACUUUAAGUCCGUAUCGGACUCCUUCUCCCUUUAAUGCUAUACUUAUUGUCUAAAUGACCUGCGACCAAUCGACCUUCUCUGAUUCCACCUUUAAAAUUAAUACUUCGUUCGUGAUCGAUGAGAUUCUUGACAUUGUUUUUUUUUUUGUUUUUUUUUUACUUUAAGAGGAAGUUUGUCCUUAAAUUGGAGGCACUAUUAUAUAAAACUAUCACCUUUUUUAGUUUUCAUGAUACAAGAUGUAUGAUGGGUGCCGUCGGAUCCCACAACGUUUAUUCAUUAUAGAAUCGGAUGAGAGUAAACAUUAGCGAUUCCUUUACCUAAGAGACAAGAUCAUUUUCCUAUUUAUGAACUUAUUAAGCUUCGGAUCAGAGUGUUACGGGUUAAAUAUUGUAAUAGCAGGUAUUAAUGCAAAUAUCGUUUGUCAGACGCUCGACGUCACUCGAUACGGACCAAUGAGGCAAAUGCUAUUAAAAAUGAGGAUUUGGGAUACAAUUCUCCAAAGCCUCCCACCCGCGUGGAUAUUUACGAGUGAGAUCACACCAACUAGGUCUAAAGCGGUCGUAAAUAAUGGGUACGCUCAAAAGCACGCGAAACCGCAAUCGAUUGUACGAGUUUAGUUUCGUUCCAGUUCUCUACCCGUUCUAUAAAUCCCCAGUUAGGACGGUUGACUUGUGUGGGUUUUUAAACUACCGUUAAACUUCCUCCCCCUUAACGUUCUGACAGUGGCCUGUGGUUGUAAAGUCUUAUUAUUACGUUGAUGCCAUUAAACGUCACAAUAUGUCACGGACGACUGUUUUUCCUCUUUGCCAUCUGCACCAUUGACUCACUGCUAUCAAAAAUAUAUUUUUUUUUCCCUCCGCUUCUUCCUCUUCCCGAUUUUAGACUGGAUAGAACUCUUAUAAUCAAUAAUUCACUGAUGAGUUAAGUAGAUGGUUUAUGUUCUUAAAAUGUGGGAUGUCUUUGACAGAAAUGGUUUUCAAAUAAUCUGAAAAUCUUGGAUAUUCUUGUAAUGAUCACCAAUCUGAAAGUGAGGAGUUCCUACCGACUUUCUUUAAAGUAGUUUUGAUCUAACUUUGAAAAUUAUAACUCUUCCUGCAAAAGAAAAAUACUUCCAAAUAAUAGAUCCAAAAAAUAAUU
This 2104-nucleotide long non-coding RNA is filed under the name Centruroides sculpturatus (bark scorpion). RNAcentral's name for it is "uncharacterized LOC111614362". The record is from RNAcentral. Lineage: Eukaryota; Metazoa; Arthropoda; Arachnida; Scorpiones; Buthidae.